GACGAACGCUGGCGGCGUGCUUAACACAUGCAAGUCGAACGAUGAAGAAAAGAAUUGAAGCUUCGGCAGAAAUUCAUUUCGGAUUAGUGGCAGACGGGUGAGUAACGCGUGAGCAACCUACCUCUUACAAAGGGAUAGCCUCGGGAAACCGGGAUUAAUACCAUAUAACAUUGCGACGAAGCAUUUCGAUGCAAUCAAAGCUACGGCGGUAAGUGAUGGGCUCGCGUCCCAUUAACCAGAUGGUGAGGUAACGGCUCACCAUAGUAACGAUGGGUAACCGGCCUGAGAGGGUGAACGGUCACACUGGAACUGAGACACGGUCCAGACUCCUACGGGAGGCAGCAGUGGGGAAUAUUGCACAAUGGAGGGAACUCUGAUGCAGCGACGCCGCGUGAGUGAUGAAGGAAUUCGUUUCGUAAAACUCUGUUCUAUGGGAAGAAAAGGACUGUACCAUAGGAGAAAGCGCCGGCUAAAUACGUG
This 480-nucleotide ribosomal RNA is filed under the name uncultured bacterium. RNAcentral describes it as "partial 16S ribosomal RNA". It matches the Rfam family "Bacterial small subunit ribosomal RNA", at positions 28 to 507 of the family's 1533-position model. The record is from RNAcentral.